Molecule: long non-coding RNA, 731 nt
Organism: Mastomys coucha (southern multimammate mouse)
Lineage: Eukaryota; Metazoa; Chordata; Mammalia; Rodentia; Muridae
Exons: 4
Source: RefSeq, a predicted model, not a curated record
CUUGGAGGCACUUUCCUCCCGCAUUCUACCUCCAACUAGGAGGGACUUGACAUUCUGUUGUCCUUAGAUUACAAGACUCCGUGACAUUGCUAUCCGACUUAGGGAAGCAGUAUGAACCCAUGUUUCCCGAAGAAGUCAUAUCUGGGCUACUGAUGACUGAACUGCAGCUUUAGGUUGUGAAGAGACAUCUGAAUGUUGUACACAACACAGGUACUCUCAGUUGGCCCAGGAGAAGUGGGUCCAGAAGAACUGUGAUGUGGGACCUCAGAGAUGAUCACCUGAGGAGUCAUCAGGAUUGGCACCAAGUGCCAGCACCAGCCAUCUCCAUCCAUGUUGUAUCUCAGAGUGGACAAUGCUUGGGUGGAGGGGCAGACGUGGAGGCUGGAGCAGCAGCUGAGCACUCACAUUUGAAGUGGAAUACGCAAAGCAGAGAGUGUGGAGUAGAAAUAUGCAUGGAUUUUGGUUCCUUGAAGACUCCUGGUGACACACUCUCUCCAGCAAGAUCACACUUCCUAAGUCUGGCCCAACAGUGCUACCAGCUGAACUCCAAGAAUUCAAAUACCUGAGACUUAUUGGGGGUCGGGGUGGGGAAUCUCAUUCAAACCACAACAGAACAGAGAGUAAAGGUGCUUGCUGCCAGCCCUAAGGACCUGAGGUUGAAGCCUGGGACCCACAUGGUAGAAGAAGAGAACUAACUCUUACAAAUUGUCCUCUGACCUCCACAUGGAUGC